Molecule: transfer RNA, 85 nt
Filed under: Felis catus (domestic cat)
Lineage: Eukaryota; Metazoa; Chordata; Mammalia; Carnivora; Felidae
Rfam family: tRNA
About the family: Transfer RNA (tRNA) molecules are approximately 80 nucleotides in length.
Source: Rfam by way of RNAcentral
CCCUGGGUGGCUCAGUUGGCUUAGCAUCUGACUUCUGCUCAGGUCUCGAUCUCACCGUUGGUGGGUUCGAGCCCCAUCUCAGGCU